UAACAGUUGUGACGUUUCCAUAGGUGAGCCACACUAAAGAGCAAAUACUCCAUACAAAAAUGUCUACUAGCGAUCAGGAAAAUUGGAUUGUGAAAAUUUUGAUGGCAACUAAGAGAAAUUCAAUUAAUCACCAGCAACAAAAUUAGGAUUUUCACACUGGCCCAACCAAUUGCUUUUAGGCUGACGGAUUUCCUGCAUUAUUCGUACCCCACUCUUCGUCAGGUUCGUUACCAUUGACGAGUACAGCACCAUCUGUAGAGUCAGCAUCCACCACAACAGGCUCAUCUUGACUCUCCUCUUUCUCAUCAUCUUGUCCCUCUUCUUGCAUCUCAUCUCCAUUCUGCUCCGCAACCUUAGCGAUCAAAAUUAGUGAAAGAACAGAGUUCAGCAUCAACUUCAGAAUAUAAAAACAAAAACAAAAACCAAGNNNNNNNNNNNNNNNNNNNNNNNNNNNNNNNNNNNNNNNNNNNNNNNNNNNNNNNNNNNNNNNNNNNNNNNNNNNNNNNNNNNNNNNNNNNNNNNNNNNNAUUUUAUUUUAUAUUAUUAUUUUGUUUGGAUAAAUGUAAGAUAAAAUAUUAAAAUUGGCUUAAAAUAAAAAAUCCCGCCUAAGCCCCCUAGGCGCUAGGCCCCCCUCGGCCGCCCGCCUUCCGCCUUUUAGAACAUUGUCCAAAAUUGCCCAAAAUCCAUUUCUACCAAGUCAGACUUACUUUAAUUGCAUUAGCUGUCAAUCAAACAAUCACAACAUUACUUGAACCUUCAUCACAUGUUGGAGGUUCUCUUCAUCCACAGCGUAUGAUAGCACAAUUUUCUCACAAUAUUUUAAAAUUUUAGUAGAUACAAAAUUAUAAAGAAAGAGAGUACAAAAUGUUAAUGUCCAAUGGUUUUCAUAUGUAAACAAAUUAAUUGCAAAAUCACUAUAGAUAAAAACUUGCCCUCCAAUUGAUAUACAAAACCCCUAACUAAUACCCAUCACAAUGCUAAUUGAUAAAACUACUUUUUGUCAAGCAGAGAUUUGUAUUCAACCAGCACUGAGAUCGAGCUUUUUUUAGUUAAAAAAAGAAAUUAGAAAUAAGGUUACCUUCUAUGCCACUUUCAGCAACCUAAAGAGUAUUGAAUGGCUACUCUAAUUAUGAAAUAUUCUGAACAAUAUGAAGCACUAUCACUAUACAGCAAGAACCGAAUAAAACCCAGGCAACAAUACCAAAUCUUUAAGGAAACAAUAAAAAUUGUAAAAAAUGGUUAAACGAUAAUAACGAUUUUAAGAGAAUUAAAAUCUACAAAAUACAAAAAAAAUAAAAAUAAAUAAAAUAACCGCCCAGGCUAAUCAAUCUAUCUAAGAAAAUGAGAUGUAACCUAUCGAAAAAGGUCUGAAUAUCAUAUAUUACACUUCAAUCCAAAGUUUUUCAACCAUCAAAGAAGGAACAUAUUAUACAUAUAGAGAGAAUACAGAAUUGAAAAAGGGCAAAGAUACAAAUGGAAUGAUCAAUACGUACGGGUUGUGCAGCGUGUCGGUCGUUCUCUUCUUCGAUCUUUUCUUUUCGCGUAGUUUUAGUCGGUAUGAAUGCUUCUUAUCGAUCCACAAAAACCCUAAUAUCGAAAAAAAAUGAAGGAGAGAUAAGAACACUAUCUUUUCAUUUUCCCUUUUUUUUUCUUUUUGUCAGUAAAAUGAGGUGAAUAGACGAAUAUACCCUUCUCUUAUGUAAAGAUAUUUUGCAGCCAUAAACUCAGAGGUAAGAUUUUUCUUUUUUGGUAUUUAAAAUUUUCAAUAACGAGAUGCCUUCGAUGGAAAAAUUGAAAUAUAAUUUUAAGUUGGUAUGACUCCAUUCUAAUACGAGUGUUACAAAGUUUUAUUUAAUAUAUAAUUAGUGAAUGAUAUGUAAUAAAAUAUAUUUAAAUAAUCAAAAUCAUUCAAACUAAAUUAUAAACGCAAGAUUUAUUUGAGUUGUACAAUAAUAAUUUUAGUUAUUAAAUUUAUUUUUAUCAUUUAUUAAUUAUUUAAUUAUAAAAAUAAAAGAAUCUUAAGUAUGAUUGAGUGGAAGUAGUAUUGAAUGACAGUUCGUAAAGAACAAGUCCUACCAUAAUUUGAAUUUUGAAUUUUAUUUCUCCCUCUAAGUGUCGUGUGACUCAUAAUAAUAGUUUUACAAUGAAAUCAAUAAAAUAAUUUAAAAUGUUAUCUAAGAAUUCUUAAUAAAAUUAUACCCUUCAUUUCUUUGAGUAACUUAUGUUGUUACAUUUAAAUUUUGAGUUUUGGAGAAACUUGUGGGGAGGAAGACUAAGAAAAUUUAUAUUUUCUAUAUAAUAAUAAUAAUAUAAUAAAGAGACCAUUAGACUACAAAAUUGUCAUUCCAAAAAAAUUAUGCACACAUGUAAAAUAUGUGCCAAAGUUCCCUAGUUAUAACAAUGAUCUCAAUGGAGAUAGAUGGUAAAUUUCACUUAUUGAAAGUUAUAUAGCCAAGUACCACAGCUAUUUUGCAUUGAGAAUUUUUUCUUAUUUAUUUAAUUAAUUUAUUAUUAUAUUUGGAAAAGUGAGUAAUCUUGGAGUACUUCAUCAUAACAUUUAGAGUGGUUAUUUUGUUUAUUUGAAAAUUCAGAUGCACGGUUUUAAAAAUAACUUAUUUCAAAUACGAUUUAUUUAAUUCACAAAUGUAAUAAGAAAAUUGUUAAAUACAUAACCGUCGCUAUACAUCUACAGCGACAUUUUUAUUGUGUAAAUAACAAAAAAUAUUAUGAACUGUGUAAUAAUCAAAAGUAACAUAAUUCAUUUGAAAAUCCAAACGCACAAACAAAGACUAGCAACUAAACAAACUCUUUAUAAUGGUAAUGUGCAUUGAGUAAGAUAUUUUGUAGUAUAAAUCUAUCAUUUUAGGCACUCAGUUAUUAUACUUAAAAUUUUUUUAACAGACUUGCAUCAACGUAUUGAACAAUGAAUGAUAUUGAUUUCAAUACGUUGAUGUGAACCCAAGCAAAUGCACUCUCUGAAUCCUCCGGACACCUCUCUGGUAUUUUAAAAAUCCAUUGGCAUUCAACGUAUUUCAAUCUUUUAGAUUUAGUUUUCCUUUCUUUACUUGUCCCCCAGAUUAUCAUUUCAGUUCAAGAAGGAAAGGAAGCAGCUGAACAUUAUUUUUUCAAAAGUCCAAUGCCCACAUCAACAUGUCGGGUCUUAAUGUAAAUAACAUGCCUUGCUUUGAAAAAUUAUUUAGUUACUAUAAAAUAUUUAACUUUCUUAUCAUUUUCCAUCCCUCCAAAUACUCCCAUUUUGGAGAAAAAAUUUUGAACCAAAAAUCAAUUUUACUUCCAAAUCUCUUCCCUUCCUAAAAAAGAUUUGAAAGAAUUUUAAUUAUUUUCCCUUCCCUUCCCUUCCCCUCCCCUAAAAAUAAAUAAAUUACAAGCACAGUAUAAGAGUGCAGCAAUAACCAUCAUCAUUUAAUGGAUGAAAAUAUGUUGAACAAAAGUUACCGCAAUCAUCAAUUACUGAUUCUACUUUCACAAUGGUAUGGUGUAAUAAUUGAGGGAAAAUUGGCCGUAAAGAAUAUGACAAAACAACCAAGUAUCUACCUGGACUUCCAACUGAUACUUCAAGAAUCUAUACUACGUUCCCCACCGACAAAAUUCAAUGCCCUACAAAUCACACCGGACUACCAACUGGUAUUUCAAGAAUCUAUACUAUGUUCCCCACCGACAAAAUUCAAUGCGCUACAAAUCACACCGCUGGCAAAUAGACACCAGGUUCCAUAAUCAUCUCCUUCAGAAAACCUGGAAGAGUUGCAUACAUAACUGAGUUUCUAGACAGAACAAAACAGUAAGGAAACUCAGCAAUUUUAAACCAGCUAUAUUGUGUGUAACUACUACUUUAUAUUCUAGUAAAUCACCGCAAGACAAAUAUAAUCCUGCAAGUUAGUUAUAUCAUCAGAUAUAACGGAUGGCUGAAAUUUCCAAAGCAGGUGGUAGGCCACAUUGCUUGUUCCACAGAAAUAGUAAACCAACACGUACCCCCUCCGUUCCAAAAUUAGAGAUACAAUUUGACUUUUGAGGUCAAACAACAAAAUAUUAAAAUUCAAAAAUAGUAUGAUUCAUAAAAGUUUAGAAUGAAAUUAAUUUUGUGAUUAAUAGUUUUUGUUAUAUACUAUACAAUUAUAAUAAUUGUAUCAACUAAAAUCAAGUAAAUUCACAUUAAUUUGAAGUUUAAUAUGCCAUCGUUUGACCACAAAAGUCAAAUUGUAUCUCUAAUUUUGGAACGGACACAAUACAUCAAUUGAAAAACAAUAAUGAUUUGGUGACCCAAGAAUGAAUACUAAAAGUAGAUUCUAUGGUGCGUAUGAAUGCUAGUUUAAAUGUAAACACAUUUACGAAAGCACCAAAUUCUAGCUUUCCUCCAAAAGUGAUUUUACACUAAAAACCUCCAAUGCUAAAAACACCGUCUUUAUGUUACUAAGAACACAUUUGAGUAAUCUUAAAUUUUCUAAGACAAGGUAGGCAAAGUUCUAUAUUUAUCCUUUAAUUCAUUGCUUACAAAGAGAAUUUAUCAUCCCAAAGGCUGAGGGGGUCGUACUCGAUAUUCCACCUUAGCCAACACAAAAAUCCAUCCUUCGGUAGAGAUGGUCUCAUAUAUCCAAUGCCUCGAUGUUCAGAAAAUUACAAUUAAAAAGACAUUUAUCAUCCCGAUGAGUAAGGGGUAAAUAUCCCACGCUAGCCACCAAGUAAAUCCAUCCUUCGGUACAGAUUCCAAUGACUUAAAGAUGUAAACUAUAAAGAUCCCUUAGAAGUGCAUAAAGAACAAAAUACAUGAAAAAUAUAUUUCUAGAUUGGUGAAAAGUACAAGGAGCAAAAAAGAAUAUCAGAUUAUUUAUAAGAAUAAGAAUUCUCACCUUGAGAAGGAAUGGAAUACAGCAGGAACCAACUGUCUUAGUGAUGUGGUGUAAGCACUGUGAAUUCAUUGUAAAGAGGGAGAAAACAACAGGUCAGAAACCACCACAAACAACCUAAAAAUGACCACUCAAUAAAAUAAAUAACAAUGUAUGGAUAUAAUAAGUAAAUUUAAGAAUAAAAAGAAAGAAAGUUUUGUUUUUUUUUAAUUUUUUUUUAGGGGGAGUGGGGAUGGGGUGUGGGUCGAAAGGAGGGCGGAUAAGCAAAGAAAAAGUAUAUAUUUGUUUCAAAAUUUUCUAGUGAGUCAAAUCUAAAUUAUAUAGAAACUAAAACGUAGGCAACUGCCAUUAGAUUUUAUCAUUUGUUAAAACUUAGUAGUAUAUUAAAUAGCUAAUAUCUGUAACAGUUGUGACGUUUCCAUAGGUGAGCCACACUAAAGAGCAAAUACUCCAUACAAAAAUGUCUACUAGCGAUCAGGAAAAUUGGAUUGUGAAAAUUUUGAUGGCAACUAAGAGAAAUUCAAUUAAUCACCAGCAACAAAAUUAGGAUUUUCACACUGGCCCAACCAAUUGCUUUUAGGCUGACGGAUUUCCUGCAUUAUUCGUACCCCACUCUUCGUCAGGUUCGUUACCAUUGACGAGUACAGCACCAUCUGUAGAGUCAGCAUCCACCACAACAGGCUCAUCUUGACUCUCCUCUUUCUCAUCAUCUUGUCCCUCUUCUUGCAUCUCAUCUCCAUUCUGCU
This 5608-nucleotide long non-coding RNA is filed under the name Panax ginseng (ginseng). RNAcentral's name for it is "long non-coding RNA (PGIN_LNC002981)". Lineage: Eukaryota; Viridiplantae; Streptophyta; Magnoliopsida; Apiales; Araliaceae. The record is from RNAcentral.